GGGGGCGAUCGGUUUCGACGGGUGGUCGAAGGCGAGCGCUGCGUGCCGACGUUGUCACAUUCGUCGUUAAACAGGUGGCGCUGUUGGUAGCCAAUAACUGCCGACGCUAACUACGCUCUCGCUGCCUAGCUGAAACUAGAGUAGCGACGCCCGUCCGUGACGCCUUCUAGCGGGUUGCGGGUGUCAUCAGAGGGCUGGUCCUCGGAACGCCGCACCGUCGUCAUCGAGGACGAGAACCAUACGGGGCUGGGCCUGGUGACUCCUGAUCUCGAGACGAGCCAGGUCGACCACGGUCGAGAGCUACGCACGUAGACGCGCUGGUUGGAAGCCAUUCGGACGCGGGUUCGAUUCCCGCCGCCUCCACCA
Molecule: transfer-messenger RNA, 366 nt
Filed under: bacterium
Lineage: Bacteria
Also listed under: 1 other name
Description: UBA9160 sp003520425 Standard tmRNA
Rfam family: transfer-messenger RNA
About the family: Bacterial tmRNA, also known as 10Sa RNA or SsrA, is named for its dual tRNA and mRNA-like properties.
Source: RNAcentral